UUUGUGCGAGUCUACAGCACUCACCUUGAGCUGAGGCCUGACUUUUGUUUUCACUUGAACACUUCUGUCUCCUACCUACCACCUGCUGAUUACCACAAAACAGUCUUACUGUUCAGUUGACAGAAACAUCUUCCCGGUAUGCAAGAAAGAUUUCUGGUACUACAGCCCUGCAGGAGGCAUUGAAGGAGAAGCAGCAGCACAUUGAACAGCUCCUGGCAGAAAGGGACUUGGAGAGGGCAGAAGUUGCUAAAGCAACCAGUCACGUAGGAGAAAUAGAGCAGGAAUUAGCACUUGUUCGAGAUGGACAUGACCGGCAUGUACUGGAGAUGGAAGC
Non-coding RNA from Tinamus guttatus (white-throated tinamou), 334 nucleotides. The record is from RefSeq and is a predicted model, not a curated record. Lineage: Eukaryota; Metazoa; Chordata; Aves; Tinamiformes; Tinamidae.